AUUAAUAUAGUUUAAAUAAAACAUUAUAUUUUCAUUAUAAAAUUAAAUUAAAUUUUUUAUUAAUA
Molecule: transfer RNA, 65 nt
Filed under: Stenocladius sp. 2 XYG-2023a
Lineage: Eukaryota; Metazoa; Arthropoda; Insecta; Coleoptera; Lampyridae
Description: tRNA-Glu
Source: RNAcentral